AAACUGCAAUUUUCAAAUCUCAAA
This 24-nucleotide small nuclear RNA is filed under the name Arabidopsis thaliana (thale cress). RNAcentral describes it as "snRNA_07576". The record is from RNAcentral. Lineage: Eukaryota; Viridiplantae; Streptophyta; Magnoliopsida; Brassicales; Brassicaceae.